RNAcentral lists this ribosomal RNA (582 nucleotides) under uncultured bacterium. RNAcentral describes it as "bacterial SSU rRNA". It matches the Rfam family "Bacterial small subunit ribosomal RNA", at positions 35 to 649 of the family's 1533-position model. The record is from RNAcentral.
GCUGGCGGCAUGGCUAAAGCAUGCAAGUCGAACGAGAAGCGGGCUUCGGCCCGUGGACAGUGGCGAAAGGGUGAGUAACGCGUUCCUUACGUGCCCCGAGGUGGGGGAUAGGUCGGAGAAAUCCGGCGUAAUACCCCAUGUCCUCUCCGGAGAAAAGGCUUCGGCCGCCUUGGGAGCGGGGAGCGUCCUAUCAGGUUGUUGGUGAGGUAACGGCUCACCAAGCCGAAGACGGGUAGCGGGUGUGAGAGCAUGGCCCGCCACAUCGGGACUGAGACACUGCCCGGACUCCUACGGGAGGCUGCAGCGACGAAUAUUCCGCAAUGCGCGAAAGCGUGACGGAGCAAUGCCGCGUGCAGGAUGAAGCGGCUUCGCCGUGUAAACUGCUGUCAGGGUGCAGGAAUACUGACCAUACCCAGAGGAAGGACCGGCUAACCUCGUGCCAGCAGCCGCGGUAAGACGAGGGGUCCAAGCGUUAAUCGGAAUCACUGGGCUUAAAGGGUACGUAGGCGGCCCUGUAAGCAUCUCGUGAAAUCCCACGGCUCAACCGUGGAAUUGCGGGGUGAACUACAGGGCCUUGAGGCA